CAGCGGAGGGAUCAUUACCGAGUUUACAACUCCCAAACCCCUGUGAACAUACCAUUUGUUGCCUCGGCGGUGCCUGCUUCGGCAGCCCGCCAGAGGACCCAAACCCUUGAUUUUAUACAGUAUCUUCUGAGUAAAUGAUUAAAUAAAUCAAAACUUUCAACAACGGAUCUCUUGGUUCUGGCAUCGAUGAAGAACGCAGCGAAAUGCGAUAAGUAAUGUGAAUUGCAGAAUUCAGUGAAUCAUCGAAUCUUUGAACGCACAUUGCGCCCGCCAGUAUUCUGGCGGGCAUGCCUGUUCGAGCGUCAUUUCAACCCUCAAGCCCCCGGGCUUGGUGUUGGAGAUCGGCGUGCCCCCCGGGGCGCGCCGGCUCCCAAAUAUAGUGGCGGUCUCGCUGUAGCUUCCUCUGCGUAGUAGCACACCUCGCACUGGAAAACAGCGUGGCCACGCCGUUAAACCCCCCACUUCUGAAAGGUUGACCUCGGAUCAGGUAGGAAUACCCGCUGAACUUAAGCAUAUCAAUAA
This 522-nucleotide ribosomal RNA is filed under the name uncultured Nectriaceae. Its description in RNAcentral is "eukaryotic LSU rRNA". The stretch from base 152 to 305 matches the Rfam family "5.8S ribosomal RNA". The record is from RNAcentral. Lineage: Eukaryota; Fungi; Ascomycota; Sordariomycetes; Hypocreales; Nectriaceae.